RNAcentral lists this unclassified non-coding RNA (240 nucleotides) under soil metagenome. RNAcentral describes it as "partial contains 5.8S ribosomal RNA, internal transcribed spacer 2, and large subunit ribosomal RNA". The record is from RNAcentral.
AACGAGGCCGACCUGCGGCUGAGUUACCUGCGGAAGGAUCAUUACAGAGUUCAUGCCCUCACGGGUAGAUCUCCCACCCUUGAAUACUAUACCUUUGUUGCUUUGGCGGGCCGCUUUGGCUACUGGCUCUGGCUAGUAAGUGCCCGCCAAAGAACCCCAAAACUCUGAAUAUUAGUGUCGUCUGAGUACUAUAUAAUAGUUAAAACUUUCAGCAAUGGAUCUCAGAUCGGAAGAGCACAC